UAAUACGUAGGGGGCAAGCGUUGUCCGGAAUCAUUGGGCGUAAAGCGCGCGUAGGCGGCCCGGUAAGUCCGUUGUGAAAGUCAAAGGCUCAACCUUUGAAAGCCGAUGGAUACUGCCGGGCUAGAAUCCGGAAGAGGCGAGUGGAAUUCCUGGUGUAGCGGUGGAAUGCGCAGAUAUCAGGAGGAACACCAAUAGCGAAGGCAGCUCGCUGGGACGGUAUUGACGCUAAGGCGCGAAAGCGUGGGGAGCAAACAGGAUUAGAUACCCUGGUAGUCCACGCCGUAAACGAUGGGCACUAGGUGUGGGAGGUGUCGACUCCUCCCGUGCCGACGCUAACGCAUUAAGUGCCCCGCCUGGGGAGUACGGCCGCAAGGCUA
RNAcentral lists this ribosomal RNA (377 nucleotides) under uncultured bacterium. RNAcentral's name for it is "bacterial SSU rRNA". It matches the Rfam family "Bacterial small subunit ribosomal RNA", at positions 521 to 896 of the family's 1533-position model. The record is from RNAcentral.